This 537-nucleotide long non-coding RNA is filed under the name Homo sapiens (human). RNAcentral's name for it is "TET2 antisense RNA 1". The record is from RNAcentral. Lineage: Eukaryota; Metazoa; Chordata; Mammalia; Primates; Hominidae.
CAGGCUGGAGUGCAAUGGCAUGAUCUCAGCUCACUGCAACCUCCGCCUCCUGGGCUCAAGUGAUUCUCCUGCCUCAGCCUCCCUAGUAGCUGAGAUUACAGCAAUGAAUGAAGGUUCCUGUUGCUCCACAUUCUCACCAGCACUUGGUUUCAUCAGUGUUCUGACUUCAGCCAUUCUAACAGGUUUGAACUGCAUGGACUGCUUAUAUGUGAAUUUUCUUCCACUUCUGCCACCCCUGGAACAGCAAGACCAACCCAUCCUUUUCCUCCUCUUCUUCAGCAUACUCAAGGUGAAGACAACAAAGGAUGAAGAUCUUUAUGAUGAUCUACUUCCAUUUAAUAAAUAGUACUAUAUUGUACAUUCCACUGUAAAUGAGCAAACAUUACACUGGCAGCAGGGACCAGCAUCCUUUAUCAAGAGGCAGUUGUAGCUCAAGAGUUGCAUCUUGGUAGCAUCAAUACAGAAUUUAAGGAUUACAGAAGAUAUCUCAAAAGUUCUCUAUACUUGGAAGAAAAAUAAAGAACGAUUUGCACUUCA